UCUUCAUCAUACCAGUAGAGAGUCUAGUUCCCAGGUCUUCAUCAUACCAGUAGAGAGUCUAGUUCCCAGGUCUUCAUCAUACCAGUAGAGAGUCUAGUUCCCAGGUCUUCAUCAUACCAGUAGAGAGUCUAGUUCCCAGGUCUUCAUCAUACCAGUAGAGAGUCUAGUUCCCAGGUCUUCAUCAUACCAGUAGAGAGUCUAGUUCCCAGGUCUUCAUCAUACCAGUAGAGAGUCUAGUUCCCAGGUCUUCAUCAUACCAGUAGAGAGUCUAGUUCCCAGGUCUUCAUCAUACCAGUAGAGAGUCUAGUUCCCAGGUCUUCAUCAUACCAGUAGAGAGUCUAGUUCCCAGGUCUUCAUCAUACCAGUAGGAGUCUAGUUCCCAGGUCUUCAUCAUACCAGUAGAGAGUCUAGUUCCCAGGUCUUCAUCAUACCAGUAGAGAGUAAGUUCCCAGGUCUUCAUCAUACCAGUAGAGAGUCUAGUUCCCAGGUCUUCAUCAUACCAGUAGAGAAUCCAGUUCCCAGGUCUUCAUCAUAUCAGUAGGAGUCUAGUUCCCAGGUCUUCAUCAUAUCAACAGUACUGCUGUAGGGUACCAGUAGAGAGUCUAGUUCCCAGGUCUUCAUCAUACCAGUAGAGAGUCUGGUUCCCAGGUCAUCGUUGUCUCUUAUUCAGAAUCUGUCAUUGUCCCGGCGCCUGGCUCCUCCACAUUGCGUCCCAAAUGACAUCCUAUUCCAUAUGUGAUCUACUACAGUUGACCAGGGCCCUAGUGUUCAGUACAGGGCAUAGGGGGCCAUUAGGGAUGCACUUCCUCGCAGCCUUGAACAGAACAGAAGCUGCUUAUCAGGCACGUGUGAGAAUUCUAGCCUCUCCUCCCUCUCAUCCCCUUUCCAUUCCUCUCCCUCUCCUCCUUUCCUUUCCUUUCCUUUCCAUUCCUUUCCUUUCCUUUCCUCCUUCUCCUUCUCCUUCUCCUCUUUCUCCUCUCCUCUCCUCUUUCUCCUUUCCUCUCUCUCCUCUCCUCUCCUCUC
Molecule: long non-coding RNA, 1023 nt
Organism: Oncorhynchus keta (chum salmon)
Lineage: Eukaryota; Metazoa; Chordata; Actinopteri; Salmoniformes; Salmonidae
Exons: 3
Source: RefSeq, a predicted model, not a curated record